Long non-coding RNA from Fukomys damarensis (Damara mole-rat), 680 nucleotides. RefSeq lists it as uncharacterized. The transcript is spliced from 5 exons. The record is from RefSeq and is a predicted model, not a curated record. Lineage: Eukaryota; Metazoa; Chordata; Mammalia; Rodentia; Bathyergidae.
CGUUACCUCUCGGUUCACUCCAGCCUGUUUCAGGCUUGCUUUUAAGACCUAUACUUCAGGUCUAGUGAAGUCUCCAGAGAGAUUAGAAUGUGGUGGCAACAAGGAAGUGUGCCUGUGUGUUUUAAGAGAUUUAUGAAUUCCAGAACUUGUGCAAUUCCACAGACCGAAGCCAUGGAGCUAUUUAUUUGUCCUGAAUGUAUGGACAGCAUUUUAUUGUUCUCGAAGAAAAAGCUAAACCAUAUGGAAAAUUUGUACAGUUCACAUCUUGAGCUGUGGCUCACCAUGGGACAAAAAGGAGCCAGAGGAGAGAAGGGAUAGAAGACAGGGCAGGCAGGUUGCUGUGGUGCCCACGGGUUGACAAACUUUUUCUGUAAAUGGAGUCCUGCCCAGUCCUCUGAAGUAAAUACCACAGCCAAAAGAUAACUGGAGGGCCGGGGAAGAUGUGAUGCAGCUGUCUCAGCAGUUCCACAGGAGAAUAGGAUAUGGAUGUAUCCAAUUAAAGCAGUCCAGCGAAGUCACCUCGUCCUGAAGCCUUUUACAUUCUCCAAGCCCAGGGGGACAGCUGCCCUCAUUUGAAGCUCCCGGGAGGAACCUGACCGGUUUUGGAAGAGCGGCCACCUUCUAUAUGUGUUUUCAGUCCUCCCUUUUUACUAGCGUAUGUUUGAAAUACAUAAUAGAUA